Molecule: ribosomal RNA, 253 nt
Filed under: uncultured prokaryote
Description: partial 16S ribosomal RNA
Rfam family: Bacterial small subunit ribosomal RNA
Source: RNAcentral
UACGUAGGGGGCGAGCGUUGUCCGGAUUUACUGGGCGUAAAGCGCGUGUAGGCGGCCGUUUAAGCCAGGUGUGAAAGCCCGGGGCUCAACCCCGGGACGCCGCCUGGGACUGGACGGCUUGAGGACGGAAGAGGGGCGUGGAAUUCCUGGUGUAGCGGUGAAAUGCGUAGAUAUCGGAAAGAACACCAAGGGCGAAGGCACUCUGCAGGGCCGAAACUGACACUGAGAGACGAGAGCUAGGGGAGCAAAUGGG